This 1440-nucleotide transfer RNA is filed under the name Toxoplasma gondii VEG. The record is from RNAcentral. Lineage: Eukaryota; Apicomplexa; Conoidasida; Eucoccidiorida; Sarcocystidae.
GCUUACAAUAUGCAUGCAAGCUGAUUCGUGUCAACAGAAGAACAGUUUGGGGGAGGAGGUUUAGAAACUUUGACGGAAAAACAGAGUCGAGAAGAUUUCUUUGGAAAAUCUAUACGAAAUGGGCGCUUUUGUUGGGAAACAGGGACGGAAGAAAUUCGAAGUGCCUCACGUUUCUGCAACAACGUGACUGCAUGCACAUAUGAAUCGCGAGAGAAUCGACGGCGGCAGGAUUCGAACCUGCGCAGGCAGAGCCUAAUGGAUUUCUAGUCCAUCUCCUUAACCACUCGGACACACCGCCUGGAAGCCGGGAUUUUUCUUCCUGUUGUUUCCACCAUGUUUAUCGCGACAAUAACUUUACAAGCUCUCCGCAACACUCGUGCUCAGAUCAAUCUUCUGUAGCAUCUGUCUUUUCCGUACUCGAGGGCACACGCCUGCAGGGUCUUUGCUCGUUCUCUUUCUUUUCUUAUAGCGGGCUUCAUGCGGUCUGCUGUGGUGUCCAGCGUCCAUCGCAGAAACGGGAAGUGACGAACUCACACACGGUACCUGCUCUGUGGCCACUGCAAGGUACGACUCUCAGGCAACCAGGCGACGCCAUAUCUUUUUAGGGUUGUCGUGCGCUUGUUGCCACACUAUAUCUUUUCAGACACAGUUACAAAAGAGUCCCUCUUUUCCCAGAAUGUUUUUCUACACCGAUAUUCAGGUUGAGACUUUGAGAGUUUCGAGAAACCGCCGAGGCACGCGUUACACGAGCAGAAAGUGACUGACAAACCAAAUGAUUACACGAUGUGAACACUGCUGGCUUUCCAGUGAAACGGUUGCCAAGUGUACGUACAGCGCAGCUGUUUCAUGUUUUCACGAAUGUGCUGCCAUUUCGAGCGUUUCGAUACGGUUCUGACACAAGCCGUUUCCUAAGAGAAACAAUCCCUCAAUCUCUUCACCAAAAACGCCGACAGUCAGCGGUUUCUCCACGUAAGACUUGCGCUGUUUAGAAGACAGUUGCGCCACGAAAGUGGAUAUCCCCGAAACCUCAAACAAAGCAGCAACGAAUCCACCGCUUGUGCCAGCCUGUCCUGCUAAACUGCAAGGUUUCAGACUCACUCAACUUACUGUUUGAAGCAUGUUGCGAUAUUUCGAAAAAACUCUCUGCUUUGGGUUUCCAUUCACUGUAAGACGCCGUUGAAAGUUCCUGGGAACGAGCGAACAAGCCGAUCACGAGCACUUCAGUGCCCGAUGAAACCCUGCAACACGUCAAUGCUUUGCCUACUCGGGUUGGGUGUGACACCGCGUCCAUAAACUCGAUCUGGAAGCAAGGCUGCUGUAUCUGUGAUUGUCGAAAUGUGCGAGAUCCAGGGACUUCCUUUGGAAAACUUUCGUCGAACUCGCUUCCGUAGUUCAUGCAGUUGUCAGUGGUAGAUCCCAACACCCGAAUCCGGUCUAGAG